GACGAACGCUGGCGGCGUGCCUAAUACAUGCAAGUCGAGCGCGGGAAGCGGACAGAACUCUUCGGAGGGACGUUCGUGGAACGAGCGGCGGACGGGUGAGUAACACGUAGGCAACCUGCCUGUAAGACUGGGAUAACUCGCGGAAACGCGAGCUAAUACCGGAUAAUACUUAUCAUCUCCUGAUGGUAAGUUGAAAGGCGGCUUUUGCUGUCACUUACAGAUGGGCCUGCGGCGCAUUAGCUAGUUGGUGGGGUAACGGCUCACCAAGGCGACGAGGCGUAGCAGACCUGAGAGGGUGAUCGGCCACACUGGGACUGAGACACGGCCCAGACUCCUACGGGAGGCAGCAGUAGGGAAUCUUACGCAAUGGACGAAAGUCUGACGGAGCAACGCCGCGUGAGUGAUGAAGGUUUUCGGAUCGUAAAACUCUGUUGUCGGGGAAGAACAAGUAUGAUAGUAACUGAUCGUACCUUGACGGUACCCGACCAGAAAGCCACGGCUAACUACGUGCCAGCCGCCGCAGUAA
This 526-nucleotide ribosomal RNA is filed under the name uncultured bacterium. RNAcentral's name for it is "partial 16S ribosomal RNA". It matches the Rfam family "Bacterial small subunit ribosomal RNA", at positions 28 to 523 of the family's 1533-position model. The record is from RNAcentral.